RNAcentral lists this ribosomal RNA (572 nucleotides) under uncultured Bacillota bacterium. RNAcentral describes it as "bacterial SSU rRNA". It matches the Rfam family "Bacterial small subunit ribosomal RNA", at positions 352 to 916 of the family's 1533-position model. Lineage: Bacteria; Bacillati; Bacillota. The record is from RNAcentral.
CAGUAGGGAAUCUUCCGCAAUGGGCGCAAGCCUGACGGAGCAACGCCGCGUGAGUGAAGAAGGUCUUCGGAUUGUAAAGCUCUGUCUUUGGGGAAGAAAGUUAGCUGCAGUAACUAUCAGCUAAUUGACGGUACCCAAAAAGGAAGCCCUGGCUAACUACGUGCCAGCAGCCGCGGUAACACGUAGAGGGCAAGCGUUGUCCGGAAUCAUUGGGCGUACAGGGUACGCAGGCGGAUAUGCAAGUCAAAUGUGGAAGGUACCGGCUUAACCGGUAGAGUGCAUUUGAAACUGUAUAUCUUGAGUUCAGCAGAGGAGGGCGGAAUUCCUGGAGUAGCGGUGAAAUGCGUAGAUAUCAGGAAGAACACCAGUGGUGAAAACGGCUCUCUGGGCUGUAACUGACGCUGAGGUACGAAAGCUAGGGCAGCGAACGGGAUUAGAUACCCCGGUAGUCCUGGCUGUAAACGCUGGACACUAGGUGUUGGGGGUUCGAUUCCUUCAGUGCCGCAGUUAACGCAUUAAGUGUCCCGCCUGGGGAUUACGGUCGCAAGACUGAAACUCAAAGGAAUUGACGG